GACGUAGGGAGCGAGCGUUGUCCGGAUUCAUUGGGCGUAAAGAGCGCGCAGGCGGUUUGGUAAGUCGGAUGUGAAAACCCGGGGCUCAACCCCGGGCGUGCAUCUCGAUACUGCCCGACUAGAGGUAGGUAGGGGAGAUCGGAAUUCCUGGUGUAGCGGUGAAAUGCGCAGAUAUCAGGAGGAACACCGGUGGCGAAGGCGGAUCUCUGGGCCUGUCCUGACGCUGAGGCGCGAAAGCUAGGGGAGCGAACAGG
This 254-nucleotide ribosomal RNA is filed under the name uncultured bacterium. RNAcentral's name for it is "partial 16S ribosomal RNA". It matches the Rfam family "Bacterial small subunit ribosomal RNA", at positions 524 to 776 of the family's 1533-position model. The record is from RNAcentral.